This 605-nucleotide ribosomal RNA is filed under the name fungal endophyte. RNAcentral's name for it is "eukaryotic LSU rRNA". The stretch from base 180 to 333 matches the Rfam family "5.8S ribosomal RNA". The record is from RNAcentral. Lineage: Eukaryota; Fungi.
UUAAAGAGUUCUAUAACUCCCAAACCCAUGUGAACAUACCUAACGUUGCCUCGGCAGGUCGCACCUACCUUGUAGCACCUUACCCUGUAAGGCCUACCCGGGAGGUGCGGGUAAGCCUGCCGGCGGCCCACCAAACUCUGUUUGAUAUUGAAUUCUGAACCUAUAACUAAAUAAGUUAAAACUUUCAACAACGGAUCUCUUGGUUCUGGCAUCGAUGAAGAACGCAGCGAAAUGCGAUAAGUAAUGUGAAUUGCAGAAUUCAGUGAAUCAUCGAAUCUUUGAACGCAUAUUGCGCCCAUUAGUAUUCUAGUGGGCAGGACCGUUCGAGCGUCAUUUCAACCCUUAAGCCUUCGUUGCUUAGUGUUGGGAGCCUACGGCAACGUAGCUCCUCAAAGUUAGUGGCGGAGUUGGUUCACACUCUAGACGUAGUAAUUUUUUAUCUCGCCUAUUAGUUGAACUAAUACCCUGCCGUAAAACCCCCAAUUUAUCAAGGUUGACCUCGAAUCGGUUCAGACAAACUCGCUAAAUUGAAGCAUCUUAGUCAGCGAAGGAAAAGAAACCAACAGGGAUUGCCCUAGUAACGGCGAGUGAAGCGGCAACAGCUC